This 499-nucleotide ribosomal RNA is filed under the name uncultured bacterium. Its description in RNAcentral is "bacterial SSU rRNA". It matches the Rfam family "Bacterial small subunit ribosomal RNA", at positions 125 to 620 of the family's 1533-position model. The record is from RNAcentral.
UCUGCCCAGUCGUGGGGGAGUAACUAGCCGAAAGGUUAGCUAAUACCGCAUACGACCGAGAGGUGAAAGCGGGGACGCAAGGCCUCGCGCGAUUGGAUGAGCCGACGUCGGAUUAGCUAGUUGCGGGGUAAAGGCCCACCAAGGCGACGAUCCGUAGCUGGUCUGAGAGGAUGAUCAGCCACACUGGAACUGAGACACGGUCCAGACUCCUACGGGAGGCAGCAGUGGGGAAUAUUGGACAAUGGGCGCAAGCCUGAUCCAGCAAUGCCGCGUGUGUGAAGAAGGCCUUCGGGUUGUAAAGCACUUUUAUCAGGAACGAAAAGCGUUGGAUUAAUACUCUGACGUGCUGACGGUACCUGAGGAAUAAGCACCGGCUAACUUCGUGCCAGCAGCCGCGGUAAUACGAAGGGUGCAAGCGUUAAUCGGAAUUACUGGGCGUAAAGCGUGCGUAGAUGGUUCGCUAAGUCGGAUGUGAAAGCCCCCGGGCUCAACCUGGGAA